UGUUUUCUACAGCUAUCUCAGUCCCAAAAUCCUUUGCCAUCAAAUUCUUCGUCUUCCUGCCUUGCAUCAUCAUACAUGAACACGCAGGUUCCAUUUUGUUAGUCACGGGGAUGUUUUCCAUGGUUUUGAGUUUUGUUUUAGUUAUCAGAUCAAUCAGAAUGGAAAAAAUCAAAUUAGUUCUCGCAUCAACCGGGAUUGCAAAACUCAAAUUACGGAGUAGGGAAAACUGAGAAACAGAAUUGGGAACGAGAGUACAGAGAGAAAUGGGAACAAAAACUCUUGAGUUUCUCAUCUGAGUUGCGUAGAGAAUUCUCCAAAGUCUUAAUAGAAUCAUAAAUUAGAGGAAUUGGAUGGUUUCUUGAUGAUGAUUCUGGAUUUGAAGAUGUGCACAUUACUAAAAUUUGGGUUGAUCACUAUAUCUGGAUGGUUUCAUGAUGAUGAUUCUGGAUUUCAAGAUGUGCAUAUUACUAACAAAUCUGGGUUGAUCACUGCUCUGGAUGGAUUCUUGGGGGUUGAUUGGAUACCAGAAUGUCCAGACUAACAAAGAUCAGAGAUGUCACUCAAGUUCACCUCAACAAUAAUUAUUAUUGGAUCUCCUAAGAAGAAUUUGGUGAUGGAUUUCACCGAUGUCUCAAAUUCAUUGAAAGCAUUCGUGAAAGCCAAACAGUUGCAGAUUUACCAUCAAUGUGUUUUUUUUUGGGAGGCGCAUAAAACUAUCUAGGGUUUAAUUUGCAGUUCAUGAUUUCGGGGUCGAAGCAGUAACAAGGUUCUUUCUUUCGUACCUAGAAUUCAAUCAUGCAUACAUGUCUUUUAAUAUCAAGUUUCAUUAGUUUGUUCUUCCAAAUCAUGUCAUGUUAUUAUACUGCUUCACAAUCCAAUCCAUUUCAGAAUAUAUAUGAAGCAGUACAAAGUUUUAUAUCUUCACUAGAGAUCACUUAGCACCAAUGAUUCCAUGUCACAUCUUAUGAUCGCUCAUUUUCCGGAUGGUAUUACAUGGUUGUUAGUGGAGUUCUAAGCAGCAUUGGUUUUCAUAUAAGUAGUUGCACCUGAUGCAGUUGAUUCAGAGGAAAGAAUGGAAACAAAGAUAUACAGUAAGCGGCUCUUUAUCCUUUUAUAUACCAUAAUAUUAACCACCUCCUUUUUAAUAAAUCAAUCGGUUCUGGCCAAAUGCCAUGCUAAAAAUUGACCUUCAUGGUUUGACCUUUUGUUUGUUGGGUGUUAUUUAUGAAAUCCAUACUUCGCGCAAGGUUUGAAACUCUUCUUACCAUGUUUAUUAGUAUUUCGGAGAACAACAUUAUUCACCGCACUUAAUUGCAGUCUUGACCAAACUGCGGUGGUCAUUUGUGAUCAAUUCAUUUUGUCCAUGAUGUGCAACUCAUCUUAGGGUUAAGCAGCCAUCAGUUUUAUCCUUUAUCUGCUUCUUCGGAGAUUAUGUCGCACCGUUCAGUCAUAAUUUGUGCCUUAUGGUAAGCAAAGGCGGCCAUUUUACCACUUUCAGAAGAGACGUCAUGUUGUCCCUUAACCGGGUUCAUGUCUCAUUAUCCUGAGCAAAGUAAUCGAAUCAUAGUUUUUUAAGGCUCAUUGGGGGAUCACUUCACCCCGACGGGUCAAACCAUCUCCUCUCUGAUACACUUCUUUGUUCUAUUAGGUUUAGACCUGUUGAAAUGGCAACACCAGCAGGAUAAUGGUGAACAAACAAAGAAUGAUGAAAACACUUAAGCUAUCUACAAACUCAACAAUGCAUAUUAAAUGAAAUAUGUCGAGGUCCUAGCGAAAGAUGGAGCCGGCCCUGUAGUUUUCAAAACCGUUCCAGAUGUUCACGAAAUUUCUCAACAAACAUGACAGAAGCAUUCUAUCUUGGGCUCUUUUAAUACCAAUAGUCAACUCAUGGGGUGAAUGGGAUUUCUUUGGUUGCCUUUACCUAAGAUGUUAGUAAAAUCAGCUGCACAACUCCUGAAUCAACUAGGUUGAUCAUUUAAUCCCUGUCAAAUGUAUUUGUAAGUAGUGCAUGAAUCAAAUUUGAAGUGUGACUCUCAUAACAGUUCUCAAGUUCUUUGGGUAUAUAUAGUUGUCCUAUGUUAUGUGUACCUACAUGCUGCAACAAAGCACGUAUAUUUUGAUGUUGUUCGUGAUAUCUGUACUAAGCUCAGCAUCAUUCAUCGUUUACAUCAUAAAUCUUUGUUUAAAGUAA
Molecule: long non-coding RNA, 2191 nt
Organism: Papaver somniferum (opium poppy)
Lineage: Eukaryota; Viridiplantae; Streptophyta; Magnoliopsida; Ranunculales; Papaveraceae
Exons: 11
Source: RefSeq, a predicted model, not a curated record